RNAcentral lists this unclassified non-coding RNA (265 nucleotides) under uncultured fungus. RNAcentral describes it as "sequence contains ITS2". The stretch from base 1 to 52 matches the Rfam family "5.8S ribosomal RNA", at positions 103 to 154 of the family's 154-position model. Lineage: Eukaryota; Fungi. The record is from RNAcentral.
AACGCACAUUGCGCCCUUUGGUAUUCCGAAGGGCAUGCCUGUUCGAGCGUCAUUAUCACCCCUCAAGCCCCGCGCUUGGUGUUGGACGGCCGGUCGAGCGAUCGACCCCUCCGAAAGACAAUGACGGCGGCCUGUGGUUCCCCCGGUACACUGAGCUUUCUGAGCACGUACCGGACCAGGGCACCCGGGACCCGGUCUUCUCCCCUCAGCGGGAACUUUUUCAAUGGUUGACCUCGGAUCAGGUAGGAAUACGCGCUGAACUUAA